GCCUCGAUAGUGUAAUGGAUCAGCACGACAGACCGGAUAUCUGUAUUUGUGGGUUCGAGUCCCGCCUGAUGUU
This 73-nucleotide transfer RNA is filed under the name Dictyocaulus viviparus (bovine lungworm). It matches the Rfam family "tRNA". From Rfam's summary of the family: Transfer RNA (tRNA) molecules are approximately 80 nucleotides in length. Their secondary structure includes four short double-helical elements and three loops (D, anti-codon, and T loops). Further hydrogen bonds mediate the characteristic L-shaped molecular structure. tRNAs have two regions of fundamental functional importance: the anti-codon, which is responsible for specific mRNA codon recognition, and the 3' end, to which the tRNAs corresponding amino acid is attached (by aminoacyl-tRNA synthetases). tRNAs cope with the degeneracy of the genetic code in two manners: having more than one tRNA (with a specific anti-codon) for a particular amino acid; and 'wobble' base-pairing, i.e. permitting non-standard base-pairing at the 3rd anti-codon position. Lineage: Eukaryota; Metazoa; Nematoda; Chromadorea; Rhabditida; Metastrongylidae. The record is from Rfam by way of RNAcentral.